UGCAGUUGAACGCAACAAAGACACCAGAGCUUGCUCUACCGUCUUUGUUGAGUAGCGAACGGGUGAGUAACGCGUGGGUAACCUGCCUUAUAGCGGGGGAUAACUAUUGGAAACGAUAGCUAAUACCGCAUAACAAUAGAGAUUGCAUAAUCUUUAUUUGAAAGUGCCAACUGGUACACUAUGAGAUGGACCCGCGUUGUAUUAGCUAGUUGGUAGUGUAAUGGACUACCAAGGCGAUGAUACAUAGCCGACCUGAGAGGGUGAUCGGCCACAUUGGGACUGAGACACGGCCCAAACUCCUACGGGAGGCAGCAGUAGGGAAUCUUCGGCAAUGGACGAAAGUCUGACCGAGCAACGCCGCGUGAGUGAAGAAGGUUUUCGGAUCGUAAAACUCUGUUGUUAGAGAAGAACGUUGAUUAGAGUGGAAAAUUAAUCAAGUGACGGUAUCUAACCAGAAAGGGACGGCUAACUACGUGCCAGCAGCCGCGGUAAUACGUAGGUCCCGAGCGUUGUCCGGAUUUAUUGGGCGUAAAGCGAGCGCAGGUGGUUUAAUAAGUCUGAUGUAAAAGGCAGUGGCUCAACCAUUGUGUGCAUUGGAAACUGUUAGACUUGAGUGCAGUAGAGGAGAGUGGAAUUCCAUGUGUAGCGGUGAAAUGCGUAGAUAUAUGGAGGAACACCGGUGGCGAAAGCGGCUCUCUGGACUGUCACUGACACUGAGGCUCGAAAGCGUGGGUAGCAAACAGGAUUAGAUACCCUGGUAGUCCACGCCGUAAACGAUGAGUGCUAGUUGUUUGGGGCUAUCCAGCCCUAAGUGACGCAGCAAACGCAUUAAGCACUCCGCCUGGGGAGUACGACCGCAAGGUUGAAACUCAAAGGAAUUGACGGGGGCCCGCACAAGCGGUGGAGCAUGUGGUUUAAUUCG
This 922-nucleotide ribosomal RNA is filed under the name Lactococcus sp. UA-V10144. RNAcentral describes it as "bacterial SSU rRNA". It matches the Rfam family "Bacterial small subunit ribosomal RNA", at positions 56 to 953 of the family's 1533-position model. Lineage: Bacteria; Bacillati; Bacillota; Bacilli; Lactobacillales; Streptococcaceae. The record is from RNAcentral.